RNAcentral lists this unclassified non-coding RNA (328 nucleotides) under soil metagenome. RNAcentral's name for it is "partial contains 5.8S ribosomal RNA, internal transcribed spacer 2, and large subunit ribosomal RNA". The stretch from base 1 to 119 matches the Rfam family "5.8S ribosomal RNA", at positions 35 to 154 of the family's 154-position model. The record is from RNAcentral.
GAUGAAGAACGUAGCGAAAUGCGAUAAGUAAUGCGAAUUGCAGAAUCCGUGAGUCAUCGAAUCUUUGAACGCACAUUGCGCCCCUUGGUAUUCCGAGGGGCAUGCCUGUUCGAGCGUCAUUAUAACCCCUCAAGCUCAGCUUGGUGUUGGGGCCUGCUGCACUGGCAGCCCUUAAAAUCAGUGGCGGCGCCAUCUGGCUCUAAGCGUAGUAAUUCUUCUCGCUAUGGAGUCCUGGGGGAUGCUUGCCAUCAACCCCCAAUUUUUCUAUGGUUGACCUCGGAUCAGGUAGGGAUACCCGCUGAACUUAAGCAUAUCAAUAAGCGGAGGA